Patella vulgata (common limpet) is the source of this 1062-nucleotide long non-coding RNA. RefSeq lists it as uncharacterized. The record is from RefSeq and is a predicted model, not a curated record. The transcript is spliced from 4 exons. NCBI's taxonomy places the organism in Eukaryota, Metazoa, Mollusca, Gastropoda, Patellidae.
UUACUCCGGAUGACCUCAUUAUUUUUCGUUACAGCGAUCAGCUAGAAAAAUGCACUUUUCAUGAAUAACGAACACGUCUCUCCCUCUAUUUGUCUUCCUUAGCUCCGAUGGUGCAGAAAAGUGAGGUGUCAACCCCCAUUUUAUUUCAGAAUUAUGGAUAUUCAUGAAACUGCAAGAAAAGGCUUCCAACAGGGGUCAGCAUAUGAUGCGUACAGACCAAGCUAUUCUGAUGAGACUAUAGACUUUGUAUUAGAUGUGGUAAGAGAAGUGGAAAUACUAUCUCAGCAAGAAAAUAAUAUCAAGUAUGAUAUAGUUGAACUUGGAGCGGGAACUGGUAAAUUUAGUAGAAAACUAUUAAGUAAAAUAAAGCAAGAGAGGUUUCUGGCUACUGAGCCAUUAGAGGGAUUUCUGGAAACUUUGAAGGCACAAAGCCCUGGUGUGGAAUCCCUACAGUGUGCUGCAAAUGAUAUCCCAUUGCCAGAUAAGUCUGUGAAGGUUUGUAAUUCACUGAAUGAUAUUCUUAUUUUAAAGCGCACACGCGCGUUAAUGUGAUCGUAUAUUGUCAUCACCGCCGCUGCCCGCCCGUACAUGCGUGUACUCAGUCUACAGAACUGAAUUAUUUACGGAUUGUCAUUAAAGUAGCUAAGUCUCUAACUCAAUAUCAUCCAAAAUCUUCAACAUUGAAAACACGAUUUAUUUGUCAAAUUAAAUCAACAUUCAUGUUGUGAUCUUACCGGGAAAAGAUGGGCUUUUGGUAUCCAAUAUUUAAGACAAAAUAAACAUUUUACCAUUGGUACACGAAUCGUGUACCAUAAUGCGCUUCAGCCCCAGUUGUAUCAAGAGACUCGAGGGACGAGGCUAGACACAUUGCACCAAAUCAAACAGCGUAUGUAGACUGGAAUAACCAGACGCUAGAAAUUUGCACUCGCUUGAGACUGCUGGCUUAUUUCGCCGAACAUAACUGAUUUGAAAUUGGAGUAAAAACGGAAACCAUUGAAUGUAAAUCAGUUUAUAUACAUUCAUAUUACAGUAUUAUAAAUUUGCUGAAAUAGGUAUGACCCC